UACGUAGGGGGCAAGCGUUGUCCGGAUUUAUUGGGCGUAAAGAGCGUGUAGGCGGUCUGGUAGGUCCGUUGUGAAAACUCGAGGCUCAACCUCGAGACGCCGAUGGAAACCAUCAGACUAGAGUCCGGAAGAGGAGAGUGGAAUUCCUGGUGUAGCGGUGAAAUGCGCAGAUAUCAGGAAGAACACCCGUGGCUAAGGCGGCUCUCUAGUACGGGUACUGACGCUGAGACGCGAAAAGCGUGGGGAGCGAACAGGAUUAGACUCCCGUAGGUAGUCCGAG
RNAcentral lists this ribosomal RNA (280 nucleotides) under uncultured bacterium. RNAcentral's name for it is "partial 16S ribosomal RNA". It matches the Rfam family "Bacterial small subunit ribosomal RNA", at positions 524 to 799 of the family's 1533-position model. The record is from RNAcentral.